AAAAGAGAAGAUUUACCUAAAUUUUAUAUUUAGAUCAAGGUACUUGUCCGAAAUCAAUGUAUGACAAUAAAACUCUCACUUUUUCAACCCACCAAAUUACCCAAUAGAAAAAGUUUUGAUAUCUUGCCUCGCAUUAUAUUACCUUACUUUAAAAAAACUCCAUAUACUCUAUCUGAACAUAGACUAAAUCAUUUGAAGGGUCCGAAGAAAAUAGUGUUAUUAGGAAACUUUAUGCAAAAUUAGUCUGUUAUUAGAAGACUUUUUCAUUUGAAAACUAUAUUACAUGAAGUUCAACUAUCAUAUUCAGAAUUUAUCGAGGAAAAUGUAAGUCUUCUGUGCAAGUUAGGCUAAGUACUUCGUCGGAACUGAAGGAGAAGUUAUGCAUGCAAGCAACUUCUUGCAUACUACUCGCAAGUCAUGUGAAGGAUCCGAAGAAGAUAUGCUUAAGAGCACUUGUCUGGCUUCUAGCAAUCCCUCUGAUAUGCUUUCCAAAAUGGCAUCUUCACUGCCCAUGAGUGAUGCCACUAGCUUUGCACCUGCCAUCUUUUCCUUCUCAGAACCUUCCCUAAGAACUUUCACGGAGAGUUUAAGAAGAUCAACUGAAUAUGGAAGGAUUGCAGACUUUAGAUGGUACACAGCUGAAAACAGAACCUGAACACAAGCAGCUCUGAUCUCUGCAUGCAUUAUCAUCUCAACAGAAUGAAUAAGAUUUGGAAGAGUUCUUCGAGCAAAAGAUUUCUUGCCAGAAUCUGAUAUCUUCUGGCAAGCACUUAUGAGAGUGUUAGCCAUACAAAGACGAAAAGAAUGUGGAACUGGUGCAUCAAAUUCAUUUUUUUCACUCCUUAUUGUGGAGAUAGAAACUUCUUUUUUAUCAUUUGUCAGUUGAUGGAUUACAUAGGCCAGAGCAGAGUUAUCUGAGGCAUCAUUCCCAGAAUUUCUCGUCUUCCCAAUAGUGCUAUACUUCUCUGAGGAGUCCUUAAAUGAUUUGAGAGCUUGCAGUUCAGCACAUAUCAUCAGUGCCAAGCAGUCAAUGCAUCCAUGUUGUGCUUUGGAAACUUCAUCCCCAUCUAAAGACGGCCACAACACAACUGUUUCUAUUGUUUUCCUGAUUUGAAGAAUUGCAGGAUGAGAAACUGAAUCACUCCCUCUAACCAUAAGAGAAGAGCAAAUGGCAAAUAGACAAGCUUUUAUCCUUAGUAUAUCGUGAGAAAUUGCAGCAUGUUCUAAUAAGGAGGAAACAAUCGUAAGGAGCACCUGAGGAUGAAUGCGGCCACAGAGCUCAGCAGCAAGUUUUCUUACAUCUUCAAAUUCGUACUUAUUAAACGCCCUCUGUAGAAGGAAUGCAGCAACACACUCAUCAACAACAUUGAUAUCUUCCCAUUCAUGAGUAAUGCCUUGGAUGGGAAGUUGACCGUACAUAGUAUGAGAAUUCAGGUCAUCAAAAACUCCCAAUGGAAGCAUCCGAAUGAUAAGUAAUGGACAAAGGCGCUCAAAUAAAGAUUGUUCCAUUUUCAUAAACUCCUCACUCGUGCAGGAUUUACUCUCCCAUCUGGACAAGAAGCCCUUGCUGAUCCCUUCCUGUGGCUUAAUCUGCAACAGGACACGAGAAAGUACUACAUCCGCAGCUUCUGCUAGGUAUUCACUUAUACAACUUAAAAACCGCACAAUAGUUGCAUUUGCUGGCUCUGCAAACAUCUUGUCAAUCAAUGGUCCAAUCAAGGAGUUCCAGUUUUGGACACUUUUUGACCACUCUGACAUCAGCUUAAGUACUCGAUCAAUAUCCACCUUUGGUCCUUCUCUUUGAUAUCCAGUAGUUAGUGAAAGAUCUAGACCUUGGUUGAGAUUGCUAAGGCAGUCAAGCAGCAUACAUAUAACUUCAGGUUUCUGGCUAUGACGUUUGAGCAUUGUAGUUAAUGAAGUACUAGCAAAUGAUUGCACUCCUUCAUCUGAUGAAUAAAUAAGGUGUACUAAGGCAGGAAAAACUAAUGCUGGAUCUAUCAUUGAAAUCAAUUUAGAUGCUUGUUGACGAAUUGUAAUAUCUUCAUCGCUAAAGCGCUCUAGCAAGUUGUUUGCUAUAUCUUGCCAUGCCAAAUGGGAAAGUUUGCCUGUGGAGUCCAAUGACAUGCACAACACUUGUGAUACAACAUCAAUAGCAUUCCUUCUCUGCAAAGCAUUUCCAGAAGCAAGGCGCUCCAGAACUUGUUUCAGGCAAUUACUGUUUGAGGUCAUGGAGCAAUAUUCUGCUAUAAGAACAACAACUGCUUUAGCAAUGCCAUCACGCUCAUCUAGAAGGUUAAGCAACAAAGGUAACACCAUAUCCAUCUGUCUACUUUCAGUGAGGCCAUCUCCAGAAUAAUAAUUUGGUUUAAAUAUGGCUUCCUUAAAUAUGCAAACAGCUCCAGCUAUCACAUCUUCAUCAGCAUAGUGCAGCUGAGAUAAAAGAAUACGUGAUAUCUGCAUUCCAUAUUCUGACAUUGUGCUUUCAAAUUUCUUUCUGUCCAAACGUCCCAAAAGAAGGCAUAGACAGUUGAGGAAAAAUUUUCUAGUCUCCAUACCAGCAUCCUUGUUCUCUGUAUGACCCUCAGGAUGGUUGUCUGUAUAAUACUGAAUGCCAGAUAUGUACUGGUCCAACAAUUCAUUGCAAUGCUGAGAAAAUUUAUGAUCUUCCAAAUGCAAUAAAAUGCUGUAGUGCUUCCAACAAGAAGAAAGUAGCAAGGCUCCAGUUUUGGGAAAGUUUGCAUCUGUCUCAUCCUGAAAGUAACCAUAGUGCCCUUUUAUUUCCUGCAACCAUUUAAGCACUUGCUCCACCCCUUUAGCAUGUAAAGGCCGACUCUUUCUGCUCCAAGCAAGAAGUCUCUGUAAUAGAGUAGCAAGUUCUUGUAUCCUCUUCCAAAGCAAGUAUGCCAUGUCAAAGUUUGAGUCUUCUGAAAGUUCACGAGAUGAUUUUUCUUUCUUCUCUCCAAUAGCAGCUGAUACAAGACUAAUAGGCUGGUUAGAUGCAUUUGAAUUCAACAGCUUUUGAUUUUUGCUCAAAACCUUAUUCUUCUUUGUUAAUGCUUCACUAAUAGAUAAAAUACAAUCAGCAGCAGACAUUGAAAGGCGAGACGGUAACUCAAAUCCAUCCUGCAAAGUGCUUCCCUUGGAUACUAUAUGUGACAAAAAAGGGAUAUACGAGCAAAGUAUCUUCAAUAAAGCAUUGUAAUUGUCUCUUAUUCCGUUUACAGGAUGCUUAUCCAUAAAAUUCUCAUACUCUACAAGACUGCGAAUAAGAAUACACCAACCAAGAGCUAUAUAACGAUCAUCUUUUCUCGCUAAAAUGUCAGCAAGACUCCUAGCAACAGCUUGGAAAAGAAAUUCAUCUUGAAAGAGCCAGUUUAUAAGUAUCAACGCUUGCCCACCAUGCUUUGAGUCUUUGCUCCUCAAAGAAUGUUGAAUGAUGGGAAUGAGAAUAUCAUCCAAUUUCUGGUCUCUCUCAGCACCGUCUUUAACGAACUUGUGCAGAAACCAUAGGGAAUCCUCCAAGGACCCGAGAGAAGGCCUUUUGUUAGAAUCAGGAGAAAGGCGAGAAAUGGCAUCGUGGAGCUUCCUGGAGCGAGCGCCCAGUAGAGUGGUUAUGGCUUUCCCUAUACUCACCGAAACCAUGGAUUCCGGUGAUUCUGGCGACUCUGCUUUCCAUAUUAACGUUUCUUGUGGCUCCAUUUUUGCUAAAAGUUAACCCCUUUAUCAAGUUUCAGUUUUAUAAAAUGAAAAAUUGGGAGAGGAAAUUGGAAAAAUUCGAGCUUGUAGUUUCCAGACGAAAGUUGGACAACAAUGGAGAAGGAUGGUGCCUUCGCAGCGCGGCCUCGCUCAGAGAUAUUACACGCAGCGUUUUG
RNAcentral lists this unclassified non-coding RNA (3872 nucleotides) under Hevea brasiliensis (rubber tree). The record is from RNAcentral. Lineage: Eukaryota; Viridiplantae; Streptophyta; Magnoliopsida; Malpighiales; Euphorbiaceae.